This 249-nucleotide ribosomal RNA is filed under the name uncultured Rikenellaceae bacterium. RNAcentral's name for it is "partial 16S ribosomal RNA". It matches the Rfam family "Bacterial small subunit ribosomal RNA", at positions 1136 to 1382 of the family's 1533-position model. The record is from RNAcentral. Lineage: Bacteria; Pseudomonadati; Bacteroidota; Bacteroidia; Bacteroidales; Rikenellaceae.
ACGUCUAGCGGAACUGCCAGCGUAAGACUGCGAGGAAGGUGGGGAGUGACGUCAAAUACAGCACGGCCCUUACGUCCAGGGCUACACACGUGUUACAAUGGCCAGUACAGAGGGCAGCCACCCCGCGAGGGGCGCUAAUCCUAAAAGCUGGUCCCAGUUCGGAUCGGAGUCUGCAACCCGACUCCGUGAAGCUGGAUUCGCUAGUAAUCGCGCAUCAGCCACGGCGCGGUGAAUACGUUCCCGGGCCUU